Osmia bicornis bicornis is the source of this 704-nucleotide long non-coding RNA. RefSeq lists it as uncharacterized. The transcript is spliced from 3 exons. Lineage: Eukaryota; Metazoa; Arthropoda; Insecta; Hymenoptera; Megachilidae. The record is from RefSeq and is a predicted model, not a curated record.
GCAAAUUUACAAAUAAGACAAAUAUAAACAUGUAUUAUAUAGUUUCUCUUAAUAUGGAUUUCGAGUAGAACAUUCGAAGAGCAAGGAAUACUUUUAUGGAGUAUCAAGGACUUGUAACUGAAAGUUCUUUCUCUUAUAUAAACUUGGCAAACCUAAAUUAAAACAUUUGAAACAUACAUAUAUAGGAUAAUACUGUGCUGGAAAGAAUAAUUCAUUUGGAAGCUGAUUAAUUUACCUAAAGAAGCAGAUGGUUCAAGAAAGCUAGAUAAAUUACAUUGAAUUGAAGAAACUGAUACAGUUGACUGUGAUUAAGAUUCAUAAACCCGUGGAUUUCAUUAGAUGACUUUACAGAGAUGAGGAAGGAAAACAGGCAGGCGACGUCAUUUUCGUGCCGAGGCAAAACUUUCCGUGGCUUUGAGCCUUUGACAAACGGUCGUUCGUAAUUGGAUUCGUUUUAUAAAGUUCCAACGAAACGUGCAGCCUUUCUGCUAUUAAUUGGAAAUGGUAAGCGGUGCGCUGCUAUAGUGACGGGGAGUGUGGACUGGAGGUCGACGAGGGAUCUUAGUCUUCAAUGUGCCCUGGAGAAAAAAACAGCAUAAUCCAUGUUCGCUUUGCCGCUUGGAUUCUUAUAUAGAUAUACCAAGAACUAUGGGACUUAGAAUUUACUCUUUAGCUACUCAAAUUGGGACUUAUUUUUAUUAACU